This 687-nucleotide ribosomal RNA is filed under the name Triticum aestivum (bread wheat). Its description in RNAcentral is "partial small subunit ribosomal RNA". Lineage: Eukaryota; Viridiplantae; Streptophyta; Magnoliopsida; Poales; Poaceae. The record is from RNAcentral.
AUGGUGGCCUUCAGAGACGUGUUGGAGGUGUGUGAGUUGGUUGAUCUAGGCUUUAUUGGAGUUCCAUUCACAUAUGACAAUAAACGUAGUGGUGCAAGUAAUGUCAAAGUCCGGUUGGACAGAGCGGUGGCAUCCAAUGAUUGGAGGAAUUUAUUCGCGUACUCGUCGGUUGUUCAUAUCCCUCCUCCUUGCUCGGAUCAUAUAGCCAUUUUGGUAAAGGGGUCAGCUGACCCGGGUCCGACAGGGAAGAGCAACAGAAGAUAUGAGCUUUUUUGGGAACGGGACCCUAUGUUGCCGGACAUAAUAAAGGAAGCAUGGGAGGCUGUAGGCGGCGUUCAGAACUUGGCUCAGUUGCGCGAUGCACUAUCCAAGACCAUGAGCUCAUUGGGAUUAUGGAGUAAAAAAUUUGGUAACAUCAGGAGAGAGUUAGCAAAGUCUCGGACUCAGUUAGAGGAACUGAUGAACAUGAACGCAGACAGAGCAGAGAUCAGGGUUGUAACAGACAAGAUGAACGAACUCCUUUACCAGGAGGAAAUGUUAUGGCUGCAACGGUCAAGAAUAACAUGGUUGAAAGAAGGCGAUAGGAAUACCAAAUAUUUCCAAGCAAGGCAGUGUGGAGAGCGAGGAAGAAUAAAAUUCGGGAUCUUACUGAUAGCAUUGGGGUGGUGCAUACAGAUAGUGUGGUGA